RNA transcript from Erpetoichthys calabaricus (reedfish), 3024 nucleotides. It is a transcript of the gene named SPT20 homolog, SAGA complex component, with no coding region annotated. The transcript is spliced from 22 exons. NCBI's taxonomy places the organism in Eukaryota, Metazoa, Chordata, Cladistia, Polypteriformes, Polypteridae. The record is from RefSeq and is a predicted model, not a curated record.
GCUCGCUUCCGGAAGUCGCCUGAUGUUACACAGGAGGCAAAAUGGCUGCUGUGGGCUUGUCAAACAAACACUGAAUCAAUCAGAACAGGCGGCUGCCAGCAUCGGGUGACCGAUACACAAGGCAUGAAACAUAAACGGGUAAGAAGUUAAUCUUCAAAAGAAGAUGCAUGUACUAUGCCAGCUUUACUGAACAUUUCAUCAUACAUUGUACCCUGUCAUCAAAUCAAAAUGAAACAAGUACUGGAACAUGCAUUGGACAGAGCAGAGUACAUUGUAGAAAGUGCCCAACAGCGUCCUCCUAAGAGAAGAAAUUCCACAAGUGCAAGGAAAUCACUUAAUCAGAAACUCUAUGAUUUGUAUUUGGAAGAAUGUGAAAAGGAGCCUGAAAUAAAGAAACUGAGGAGAAAUGUUAAUCUACUGGAAAAGCUUGUGAUGCAGGAGACACUGUCGUGUCUUGUAGUGAAUCUUUACCCUGGAAAUGAGGGAUAUUCAUUGAUGCUCAGGGGAAAAAAUGGAACUGACUCAGAAACUAUCCGGCUACCCUAUGAGGAGUGUGAACUUCUGGAUUAUCUUGAUGCUGAAGAACUGCCUCCAAUCCUUGUCGAUUUAUUGGAAAAGUCUCAGGUCAAUAUUUUUCAUUGUGGGUGUGUCAUAGCUGAAAUUAGAGAUUAUCGACAAUCUGGUAACACUAAAAUACCAAUAUAUAAAACUAGGCACAUACUGUUGCGGCCAACAAUGCAGACCCUGGUUUGUGAUGUCCAUGCAAUAACAAGUGACAACCACAAGUGGACGCAGGAUGAUAAGUUGCUUCUGGAGAGUCACUUAAUCUUGGCAACUGCAGAACCAUUAUGUCUGGAUCCCUCCAUAUCAGUCACAUGCACUGUCAACAGAUUGCUUUAUAACAAGCAAAAAAUGAACACUUACUCAAUGAAAAGAUGCUUCAAGAGAUUUUCCCGGCCUUCUUUAAAUAGACAGUUAGAAAUGGCCAAUUAUCCAACACCACCACAGUUGAAAUUGUUUGACUAUAUACAAAAAAGAAAGGAAAGAAAAACACCUCAGUCAGUGGAUCUUAAAAUUUCCAGAGCAGGCAACUGUGUGGAUAUGUGGAAACAAAAUAGCUGUCUGUUAUUGGCACCAACAGAGCUUGAUGUGGAAAAGUAUGCUACUGUGGAGAAAUCUGUUAAGCUUGAAGAAUCUCAACCAUCUGUCUGGCCAGCUCAUGAUAUUAAAGAUGAUUACAUCUUUGAAUGUGAAGUGGGUGCACCCUUCCCAAAGACGAAAGUGACCGUUUAUCAGUGUGCAGGAGAUCCCUUGUUCUAUGGUAAAAUUCAAGUAGCAAAGGAUUUAUCAAGAGAUGAUGAAAAUGAAUUCCACCUCAUUCACCCCCCAUUCCUCAUUGGCUCAAAGAUUGAUGCUGACCGAUUUAUUAAACAGUACAAGGAUGUUUACCAUAAAGAUGCCAAAUGCUCUAUAAAGAUGUCUCACAACUCUGGUGGAUCAGCAAGUCAUGGCCAGCUCUCUCCUUCAAAGGAAGCAGAACCUGAUGGUAUUUCUGGGUCAGUUCAGUCCUCAGUACUGGGAAAGGGAGUGAAACACAGACCACCACCUAUUAAACUACCCUCUGGUUCAGGAAGCAACUCCUCAGCAAAUGCUUAUAGUUCCCAGCAGUCAGGUAGUCACCUGAAAUCUCCAACUCCUCCUCCAUCUAAGAGUCAGAGCCUCUCUCGUAAACACUCAGAACUGAAUCAAGUAAACCUGCUUUCACCAGCUGCUCUUUCACCAGUGGGAUCCUCACAGAGGUCUCGGGGUGGUGGAGCGUAUCCUGGCAACAAUGUGCGCAAGGCAGGACUACACCACGGACGAGAUGCAAGUCCGUCACAGGGAUCUGGAACUCCCAAGCCAUCUACUCCAACACCCACUAACACGCCAUCAUCUACUCCUCAUCCUCCAGACAUCCAAACGUCCACACCAUCUAUUACCCCAUCGGCAACUCCCACACCACAGGACUCUUCAAUGAACUCACAACCAGCCCUUUUGACAUCUUUUGCCCAGCAGCAGAUGGCACUGAGUCAGACUCUUCCAGUCAUGACUAUUCCCUUGGCUACCAUGGGUACCUCAAUCACCACAGGCACAUCUACAUCUCAGGUCAUGACUAGUCCAGCUGGCCUAAACUUCAUCAAUGUUGUUGGAUCUGUGUGUGCACCCCAAAUGAUGAGUGGAUCUAAUCCCAUGUUGGGCUGCAACCCUGGAACUAUCACCUCUACAGGGAUUAAUCUCAGUGGGAUUUUGCCACCUGGAGGACUUGUGCCUGGUGCAUUACCAACUAUGCAGUCUGGAGCACAAUCAGGUUAAUGUUGUUUGCAUUUUAUGAGCUUUUCUUUUUAAAUCUGUUGCAUUACAGUUUUCUGCUACCUUUUGCCUCUUUUACUGAAGAAACUGUAAAUAGUUGGUCAACCAUGGCUUCUGUUAUAUCAGUAAUAUAUUUCUGUAUGAAAACUUGAGAUAAAUAUUUUUUUUUCCCCCCUCAGCCAUCACUACAAAUUACAUGGGGAAAGUAAUAUAUAAAAGUAUCAUUUUUGGCUGGAGUAUUCCUUUAAAUGUAACAGUUAUUUCUGAAUUUAAAAGGUGUCUUCAGGCAGCUUACAGUAGCGGUCUGUGAUACAGCAGACGAAACAUGCAACAAAAGCCAUAACACUUACUGAAUGCAUAAUCUUUGAAGCGAUUUUAAUUUGAGAAAACAUACAUUCCACAUUACUGAGGUAUUCUUAUGAAAACAAAACAAAGUAUAUUAUUUUUAAUUACAGAUUCUAUGCACUAUCCUACUGGAAGGGAGAAUACAUGUUCUCUGCUCUGUGGGUAUAGUUCUUAUGUAAAUAAUAACCAGUAUAAUGGAAGUUAAUGAUGCGCCCUGGAAGCACUGAGGUUGAAUAUAACAAAUAAAAGCUCAUAUCUGUAGCUGUUUAGUACAGUAUUUCCAUUGAGCUGACAUUUUUCAAAUAUUUGCAUAAUGGAGAUGCAAAAUAA